Molecule: non-coding RNA, 45 nt
Filed under: Schistosoma margrebowiei
Lineage: Eukaryota; Metazoa; Platyhelminthes; Trematoda; Strigeidida; Schistosomatidae
Source: RNAcentral
AUCCAACUGACGAGUCCCGAAUAGGGCGAAACGAACAUCCUGGAU